UGGGGUAUAGCUCAGUUGGUAGAGUGCUUGCCUUGCAUGCACAAAGCCCUGGGUUCAAUCCCCAGCAACACAC
RNAcentral lists this transfer RNA (73 nucleotides) under Urocitellus parryii (Arctic ground squirrel). RNAcentral's name for it is "Spermophilus parryii (Arctic ground squirrel) tRNA". It matches the Rfam family "tRNA". From Rfam's summary of the family: Transfer RNA (tRNA) molecules are approximately 80 nucleotides in length. RNAcentral also lists the same sequence under 2 other names. Lineage: Eukaryota; Metazoa; Chordata; Mammalia; Rodentia; Sciuridae. The record is from Rfam by way of RNAcentral.